CCUACGGGAGGCAGCAGUAAGGAAUCUUCCGCAAUGGGCGAAAGCCUGACGGAGCAACGCCGCGUGGGCGAUGAAGGCCUUCGGGUCGUAAAGCCCUUUUCUGUGGGACGAUAAUGACGGUACCACAGGAAUAAGCCGCGGCUAACUACGUGCCAGCAGCCGCGGUAAUACGUAGGGACCGAGCGUUGUCCGGAAUCAUUGGGUGUAAAGGGUCCGCAGGCGGAUGUGUAAGUCGGAGGUGAAAUCUUCCCGCUCAACGGGAAAACGGCUUUCGAUACUGCACGUCUUGAGUACGGGAGAGGGUGGUGGAAUUCCUGGUGUAGGGGUAAAAUGCGUAGAUAUCAGGAAGAACA
Molecule: ribosomal RNA, 353 nt
Filed under: uncultured bacterium
Lineage: Bacteria
Description: partial 16S ribosomal RNA
Rfam family: Bacterial small subunit ribosomal RNA
Source: RNAcentral